GCAUUCAGUUGCCGAUCGGGUAAGUGCCGGGCACUCUGGAAGGACUGCCAUCGACAAGAUGGAGGAAGGUGGGGAUGACGUCAAGUCAUCAUGGCCCUUAUGUCCAGGGCAACACACGUGCUACAAUGGCCGGCACAACGGGAAGCGAGUUCGCGAGGACGAGCGGAUCCCUUAAAGCCGGUCGCAGUUCGGAUUGAAGUCUGCAACUCGACUUCAUGAAGCUGGAAUCGCUAGUAAUCGUGGAUCAGCCAAGCCGCGGUGAAUACGUUCCCGGGCCUU
RNAcentral lists this ribosomal RNA (279 nucleotides) under uncultured Synergistaceae bacterium. RNAcentral describes it as "partial 16S ribosomal RNA". It matches the Rfam family "Bacterial small subunit ribosomal RNA", at positions 1107 to 1382 of the family's 1533-position model. Lineage: Bacteria; Thermotogati; Synergistota; Synergistia; Synergistales; Synergistaceae. The record is from RNAcentral.